Molecule: ribosomal RNA, 253 nt
Filed under: uncultured bacterium
Lineage: Bacteria
Description: partial 16S ribosomal RNA
Rfam family: Bacterial small subunit ribosomal RNA
Source: RNAcentral
UACGUAGGGGGCAAGCGUUAUCCGGAAUUACUGGGUGUAAAGGGAGCGUAGACGGUAAUGUAAGUCUGGAGUGAAAGGCGGGGGCCCAACCCCCGGACUGCUCUGGAAACUAUGUUACUAGAGUGCAGGAGAGGUAAGCGGAAUUCCUAGUGUAGCGGUGAAAUGCGUAGAUAUUAGGAGGAACACCAGAGGCGAAGGCGGCUUACUGGACUGUAACUGACGUUGAGGCUCGAAAGCGUGGGGAGCAUACAGG